RNAcentral lists this ribosomal RNA (274 nucleotides) under uncultured bacterium. RNAcentral's name for it is "partial 16S ribosomal RNA". It matches the Rfam family "Bacterial small subunit ribosomal RNA", at positions 523 to 796 of the family's 1533-position model. The record is from RNAcentral.
AUACGGAGGGUGCAAGCGUUAAUCAGAAUUACUGGGCGUAAAGCGCGCGUAGGCGGUCAUGUAAGUCGGGUGUGAAAUCCCCGGGCUCAACCUGGGAACUGCAUUCGAUACUGUAUGACUUGAGUUUGGUAGAGGGGAGUGGAAUUCCACAUGUAGCGGUGAAAUGCGUAGAUAUGUGGAGGAACACCAGUGGCGAAGGCGACUCCCUGGCCAAAAACUGACGCUGAGGUGCGAAAGCGUGGGUAGCAAACAGGAUUAGAAACCCUAGUAGUCC